AUAUAUACCUGGCAGGGGAGAUACCGUUAUCAAAAAGGCGUUUCACCCAGGGCAAGGCUCAGCCAUUACUGUGGGUAUGCUGACCUCUGCAAAUUCCCCAAACGAGGGACCCUUGCAUAUUUUCUGGUGUUGGGAAUGGGACUCGUA
The sequence is a small nuclear RNA, 147 nucleotides long. Its record names the gene U1. It matches the Rfam family "U1 spliceosomal RNA". Rfam says of the family: U1 is a small nuclear RNA (snRNA) component of the spliceosome (involved in pre-mRNA splicing). The record is from Ensembl.